Molecule: long non-coding RNA, 1056 nt
Organism: Mustela lutreola (European mink)
Lineage: Eukaryota; Metazoa; Chordata; Mammalia; Carnivora; Mustelidae
Exons: 6
Source: RefSeq, a predicted model, not a curated record
GAAAGAGCUGGACGGAGCGAGAGCGUUCCGGUGUUCGCGUUUGCGUUUCUCGAGCUUAACCUCUGACCGAGUUGUGGCUGGGUGGUGAAGUUUUAACUGAAAUGGAAAGGCUUUUCGUUAUGAUGCUACAGUUGGCGCGCUGUGAGCUAGACCCUACCAAAACUUGAGGGAGGAGAAGCUAAGAGAAGUCGGAGAGAGAGUUGGUGGCAGAAGAAGUAGAUGUUAAAUUUAAAAACCCUAUUUUGUAUGGAAUAUAGGGAACUGUGCUGUCUUCUUUAUAAGUCCUAAAGUGAUAAGCUUAUUAGGAAAAAAUCUUAAAAGAAACAACCCUGCCUCUUGAUUCCUGGUGAAAAGGAGCUGAAGAAGUUUACCAUCAAAGUGCUGGCAGAUUUGGUGUCUGGAAUGAAUAUUAUGUAUGACUGGGGAGCACCUUCCAUGGUCAGUGUUAUAAAACCAGAACCUAUUGAUGAAGUCCUAAUGGAAGCUACAGCUAAGAAAGUAAAGGCUGAUGAAAUUAAGGGACCACCUGGCUGUCUCAAAGUGGAUACACCAUUUUACACUUCCACCUGAAGGUUUCAGUUUCUCCUCAUCCUCAAUACUUGUCAUUAUCUGGAUUUUGACUCACAUCCUCUUGGUGCUCUGCCUGUUAGUUCUGUUGGUCUCCUUUGGGUCUCUCACAUGGCCACAGUCAGCUGGAAACUGAGGCUGGAAAUCUCCAGGGUAGCUUCACUCAUGUAUCUGAUCCCUCACUGGGCAUGUCUGGAAGGCCAGACUCAGCUGGGACACUGGCAAGCUUCCUGUUGGAGAAACACGUUGCCAUGUUGUGUGCAGCUGUGAGGAGGCCACCUGGCAGAAUACCGAAGUCUCUGGCCAAUGGUCAGUUAGGAGCUGUGUCCUGCCAACAACCGUGUGAAUGAACUUGGAAGUGAACUCUGCAGCCCUAUUCUGGCCUUGAGACAACUGGAGCCCCAGCCAAAUCUUGACUGCAACCUCAUGUGAGACCUUGAGCCAGAAUCACCUGGCUAAGUCACUCUCAGAUUACUAAACCUCAGGAAU